Molecule: non-coding RNA, 74 nt
Organism: Danio rerio (zebrafish)
Lineage: Eukaryota; Metazoa; Chordata; Actinopteri; Cypriniformes; Danionidae
Source: the annotation of a RefSeq genome assembly
GCUCCGGUGGCGCAAUCGGUCAGCGCACGGUAUUUAUAAUGCCGAGGUUGUGAGUUCGAGCCUCACCUGGAGCA